RNAcentral lists this ribosomal RNA (253 nucleotides) under uncultured bacterium. RNAcentral's name for it is "partial 16S ribosomal RNA". It matches the Rfam family "Bacterial small subunit ribosomal RNA", at positions 524 to 776 of the family's 1533-position model. The record is from RNAcentral.
UACGUAGGGGGCAAGCGUUAUCCGGAUUUACUGGGUGUAAAGGGAGCGUAGGCGGCCAUGUAAGUCAGAAGUGAAAGCCCGGGGCUCAACCCCGGGACUGCUUUUGAGACUGUGUGGCUGGAGUGUCGGAGGGGUAAGUGGAAUUCCUAGUGUAGCGGUGAAAUGCGUAGAUAUUAGGAGGAACACCAGUGGCGAAGGCGAUUCUCGGGACUGUAACUGACGCUGAGGCUCGAAAGCGUGGGGAGCAAACAGG